This 422-nucleotide ribosomal RNA is filed under the name Burkholderia pseudomallei. Its description in RNAcentral is "partial 23S ribosomal RNA". It matches the Rfam family "Eukaryotic large subunit ribosomal RNA", at positions 1108 to 1506 of the family's 3401-position model. The record is from RNAcentral. Lineage: Bacteria; Pseudomonadati; Pseudomonadota; Betaproteobacteria; Burkholderiales; Burkholderiaceae.
UGCGAUGAGAGUGCCAAGUGGGCCACUUUUGGUAAGCAGAACUGGCGCUGUGGGAUGAACCAAACGCCGGGGUAAGGCGCCCGAGUCGGGACGCUCAUGAGAACCCAUGAAGGGUGUUGGUUGCUUAAGACAGCAGGACGGUGGCCAUGGAAGUCGGAAUCCGCUAAGGAGUGUGUAACAACUCACCUGCCGAAGCAACUAGCCCCGAAAAUGGAUGGCGCUCUAGCGUCGCGCCUAUCCCCGGCCGUCGCUGGCAGAAAAGCACGAAAUGUGGGGGUGCUAAGCCGCGACGAGUAGGAGGGCCGCAGCGGUGUGCGUUGAAGGUGUCGGGCGUGAGCCCGCCUGGAGCCGCCGCUGGUGCAGAUCUUGGUGGUAGUAGCAAAUACUCAAGUGAGAACCUUGAGGACUGAAGUGGAGAAGGG